AGCGGCGCACGGGUGCGUAACGCGUGGGAACAUGCCUCUAGGUACGGAACAACACAGGGAAACUUGUGCUAAUACCGUAUAAUAUCUCCGGAUCAAAGAUUUAUCGCCUAGAGAUUGGCCCGCGUUAGAUUAGGUAGUUGGUGGGGUAAUGGCCUACCAAGCCGACGAUCUAUAGCUGGUCUGAGAGGAUGAUCAGCCACACUGGAACUGAGACACGGUCCAGACUCCUACGGGAGGCAGCAGUAAGGAAUAUUGGACAAUGGGCGAAAGCCUGAUCCAGCCAUGCCGCGUGAGUGAUGAAGGCCUUAGGGUUGUAAAACUCUUUUAGAUGGGAAGAUAAUGACGGUACCAUCAGAAUAAGCCCCGGCUAAAUUCGUGCCAGCAGCCGCGGUAAUACGAAUGGGGCAAGCGUUGUUCGGAAUCACUGGGCGUAAAGCGUGUGUAGGCGGUUUAUCAAGUCAGAAGUGAAAGCCCAGGGCUUAACCCUGGAAUUGCUUUUGAAACUGAUAGGCUAGAGUACUGGAGAGGUUAGCAGAAUUCCGAGUGUAGAGGUGAAAUUCGCAGAUAUUCGGAGGAAUACCAGUGGCGCAAGCGGCUAACUGGACAGUAACUGACGCUGAGACACGAAAGCGUGGGGAUCAAACAGGAUUAGAUACCCUGGUAGUCCAUGCUGUAAACGAUGUAUGUUAGUUGUCGGGGG
This 700-nucleotide ribosomal RNA is filed under the name uncultured Alphaproteobacteria bacterium. Its description in RNAcentral is "bacterial SSU rRNA". It matches the Rfam family "Bacterial small subunit ribosomal RNA", at positions 94 to 829 of the family's 1533-position model. The record is from RNAcentral. Lineage: Bacteria; Pseudomonadati; Pseudomonadota; Alphaproteobacteria.